This 714-nucleotide ribosomal RNA is filed under the name uncultured bacterium. Its description in RNAcentral is "bacterial SSU rRNA". It matches the Rfam family "Bacterial small subunit ribosomal RNA", at positions 393 to 1107 of the family's 1533-position model. The record is from RNAcentral.
CAUGCCGCGUGUAGGAUGAAGGUUCUAUGGAUUGUAAACUACUUUUAUACGGGAAAAAACCCCGGGUUUCUACCUGGGUUGAUGGUACCGUAAGAAUAAGGAUCGGCUAACUCCGUGCCAGCAGCCGCGGUAAUACGGAGGAUCCAAGCGUUAUCCGGAUUCACUGGGUUUAAAGGGCGCGUAGGUGGAAUGUCAAGUCAGUGGUGAAAACCUGCAGCUCAACUGUAGACCUGCCAUUGAUACUGUCAUUCUUGAGUGCAUUUGAUGUGAGUGGAAUGUGUCGUGUAGCGGUGAAAUGCUUAGAUAUGACACAGAACACCAAUUGCGAAGGCAGCUCACAAAACUGUAACUGACACUGAGGCACGAAAGCGUGGGGAUCAAACAGGAUUAGAUACCCUGGUAGUCCACGCCGUAAACGUUGAUUACUAGAUGUAUGCGCGUUAGCGUAUGUGUCAAAGCGAAAGCGUUAAGUAAUCCACCUGGGGAGUACGACCCGCAAGGUUGAAACUCAAAGGGAUUGACGGGGGCCCGCACAAGCGGAGGAGCAUGUGGUUUAAUUCGAUGGUACGCGAGGAACCUUACCUGGGCUUGAAAGUUAGUGACCCGCUCCUGAAAGGGAGCUUUCCGAAAGGACACGAAACUAGGUGCUGCAUGGCUGUCGUCAGCUCGUGCCGUGAGGUGUUGGGUUAAGUCCUGUAACGAGCGCAACCCCUA